Molecule: non-coding RNA, 28 nt
Filed under: Bombyx mori (domestic silkworm)
Lineage: Eukaryota; Metazoa; Arthropoda; Insecta; Lepidoptera; Bombycidae
Source: RNAcentral
UACCGAAUUGUACGCACGAUGUAUUCAC